GAUGAACGCUAGCUACAGGCUUAACACAUGCAAGUCGGGGGGCAGCAUGGGGGUUGUUUGCCACACCUGAUGGCGACCGGCGCACGGGUGAGUAACGCGUAUCCAACCUGCCCUUCACCACGGGAUAACCCGGCGAAAGUCGGACUAAUACUGUAUGUUUUCGUUUGACGGCAUCCGAUUGGGACGAAAGGAUGGGGGGUGGAAGGGGGGGGAUGGGUCCGAUUGGCUUGACGGGGGGGUAACGGCCCACCGUGGCUACGAUCGGUAGGGGUGCUGAGAGGAAGGUCCCCCACACUGGAACUGAGACACGGUCCAGACUCCUACGGGAGGCAGCAGUGAGGAAUAUUGGUCAAUGGGCGUAAGCCUGAACCAGCCAAGUAGCGUGCAGGAUGACGGCCCUAUGGGUUGUAAACUGCUUUUAUGCGGGGAUAAAGUGGCCCACGUGUGGGCUUUUGCAGGUACCGCAUGAAUAAGGACCGGCUAAUUCCGUG
Molecule: ribosomal RNA, 491 nt
Filed under: uncultured bacterium
Lineage: Bacteria
Description: partial 16S ribosomal RNA
Rfam family: Bacterial small subunit ribosomal RNA
Source: RNAcentral